UUUCCGUAGGUGAACCUGCGUAAGGAUCAUUAGUGGAGAUUGCGUGUGCCGUCGGCGGUGGCAUUGCUGCUGCUGCGGACGGCCACCACACCAUCGACACCGUGCACGUGGAUGGGCCGGUCGCUCGCUGGCGACAGCUGACUACCCACCCCUCUCUACAACACACCCCUGGACACGCAUGUCGUCUGUGCACACACAGACACCAUCAAUGCAAAAAUACGCAACUUUCAACAGCGGAUCUCUUGGCUCUCGCAUAGAUGAAGAACGCAGC
RNAcentral lists this unclassified non-coding RNA (271 nucleotides) under uncultured fungus. RNAcentral describes it as "sequence contains ITS1, 5.8S rRNA gene". The stretch from base 223 to 271 matches the Rfam family "5.8S ribosomal RNA", at positions 1 to 49 of the family's 154-position model. The record is from RNAcentral. Lineage: Eukaryota; Fungi.